GAUGAAGAACGUAGCGAAAUGCGAUACGUAAUGUGAAUUGCAGAAUUCAGUGAAUCAUCGAAUCUUUGAACGCAUAUUGCGCUCUCUGGUAUUCCAGAGAGCAUGCUUGUUUGAGUAUCAGUAAACACCUCAACUUCCAUAUCUUUUUUGAAAUGGGAGUUGGACUUGAGUGAUCCCAACGCUUUUCCUCACCGAAAAGUGGCGGGUUACUUGAAAUGCAGGUGCAGCUGGACUUUUCUCUGAGCUAUAAGCAUAUCUAUUUAGUCUGCCUAAAAAACAGAUUAUUACCUUUGCUGCAGCUAACAUAAAGGAGAUUAGUUCUUGUGCUGACUGAUGCAGGAUUCACAAAGACAGGCUUCGGCCGACUUUGUAAACUCGAUCUCAAAUCAAGUAAGACUACCCGCUGAACUUAAGCAUAUCAAUAAGCGGAGGA
RNAcentral lists this unclassified non-coding RNA (433 nucleotides) under soil metagenome. RNAcentral describes it as "partial contains 5.8S ribosomal RNA, internal transcribed spacer 2, and large subunit ribosomal RNA". The stretch from base 1 to 120 matches the Rfam family "5.8S ribosomal RNA", at positions 35 to 154 of the family's 154-position model. The record is from RNAcentral.